UCCCUGGUGGCUUAUAUGGUAAAGAAUCUGCCUGCAAUGCAGGAGACCCUGGUUCGAUCCCUGGGUUGGGAA
This is a non-coding RNA of Bos taurus (domestic cattle), 72 nucleotides long. Lineage: Eukaryota; Metazoa; Chordata; Mammalia; Artiodactyla; Bovidae. The record is from Rfam.